CACCCUCUGAAGACACACUAAUGCACAUUUACUCUCUCUCACUUUGGCUCUCAGUGCCUCUGUCCAGACUGCUGCUUCAGACCUCACCGCCCCUUUCCAUUCAAACCAACUUUAUGCCACACUUCUGAGCGUGCGAGCCAGCAUUUCAUCCACAGCCUGCUGUACUUUCAGGAGCCUCUUAAUUUGUUAAAGUUUUAGUUGGAGAAAAGUGACCAACGGUGGCCAUGAUGAGGAUCAUACUGCUGCUGCUGGUCACCCUGGCGGGGCCUUUUUGUACCUUUACCCAAGCAAGUACUCUGGUGGUGCCAACAGCUGUUGAUGCAACUACAGAACCAAAUCUUGUAGCAGAUCUGCCUGAUUUCACUGCCAAAACAGAGGAACCAGCUCCUCAAGAUGCUGUCUCAACGCCAGCGCCUGCUCCUGAGGCUACAGAAGCAGUUGCCUCAACACAAGAAGUGCCAGUGGUUUCCACAGCAGCACCAGUGAUACAAUCAGAAGCCCCAUUAGAAACAACAGCCCCAACAGAUACAGCACAAUCAACAGAAGCUGGACCUAAAGAGAUGGCCAGCCCUGAAGCCUCUACUGUCACUGAAGAGGCAAGAGCAGAAACUGGGAAAGCUGAAGAAACCGUAUCAGAGACUCCAAAUGUAGAUGUGGAGGGUGAAGGUAUGGGCACAGGACAGUUGGUGGGGAUCGUAAUCGGCGCUUUGAUCGCAGUGAUUGUUGUCAUUGCUGUAAUCAUCUUGGUGGUCAGAAGAAAGGGCCAAUACUCCCCCUGAAAAGAAAGGCACGACAAGAAGAGAAGAAGAAGAAAUUCGGGAAGUUCUGAUGUUAAAAACAAUGCAAGCUGCACUCUCACCAUCCAUCCAGGACUUACACGGGGAGCAGGAGAGUGUCCCAUCCCCUUUCCCAUUGAAAAGAUGCCACUCCCCAUUUUUUGGUCCCCCUAAAAUCCUCAUUUAUCUCUCAACAGUGGGAGGCCACAGGAAGUUACGGUGUCUUUUUUUAAUGCAUAUUAAUGUAACAGGAGAUGAAUGAAUGUGGAGUUUGUGAAGGGCCUAAUAAACAAAAACAAAGAAACAGCUGCCCAUGCAAGCAAAAGCUUGUAUUUUUUUAUUCCACUGAGUAUUAAUAACAUACAGAAAAAAAAAACUACUCCACAAUCAUUAACUUUCUCAAUUUCUCUUUUUCCCCUUCUACAGAUGUGUCCAACAGGACUAUGACGCAUUAUGUACAGUCUAUGAACUGUCAUAAGCAGAUGCUGAGGACACAUUCUGUUCUCAAGAUGUGUAAGCGGCAUUAACUAAUAACAUUUUUUAAAUUAUUAGUUAAGGGGAGCAGCACACAAUAAGUGCUUGAGAUUUACUAUUUUGAAGUGCAUUAAUAUGGAGUGACUAGACCAUGCUGUUCUUAAAUGUCACCCAUUCCAAAAGUUACAUCACUUCCUCUGGAACACAAUCAGCUUUGCUCCAGCGCACAGCUGCUAUUGGCAUGUAUCUCUAAAAUCCUGAUGUUCCUCAGCCUGUACUAUAUCAUUUUAACAGCAUACAGACAUUUUGCAUGGUAUAGUUGUUUGCGUUUCUUUUUGUCAGUGUUGGGGUUUGUGUUUCUUACUGACGUUCGGGAGCGUUGCUAUCCUGGACUUUGCUUUAAGAGAUCAGUAUUAGGUGCACUGAAUGAUGAAGAAUAAAUGUUUAAUAUUUAGACGACACUGCAACUGUUUGCAACGAUAUUUUGUGUUUUUUCUUGCCAGAUUCCUCUUUAUAUCCCGUUACUCCAUGAUCGCAUUUUCCCAUUUGAUGUCAGAAUCCAGUUAAAGCCGAGUGUUUGUCUUUUGUAUUUUGGGGGUGGCGUUUUGUUUUUCUUAUUGUUCAAUCAGUUUAAAUAAAAAAGUUCUAAAGUAUGUUGUACUUCCAUAUUGUGUUGUUGUGGAUCCCAGAUAACGUUUUCUGUUUAUCUGUUUAUCCAGCUUUUCACACACAUUUACGCUCAUGCACUGUCUCUUUCUCACACAAACACACACCCACACAUCUGUCUCUCUAGUCCCUUAGGUUAUAAAGACUGUAAAAGACAAGGGAGAGAGAGGAAGAGCCAAUGAAUAAAGGCAUCUUUGUAAAUAUGACUAUGUACUCAAGUGACCUCUCUGGUUAAGUAGAGUAAAUAACAUGAGAGUCCCAAACAGCUGAACCCCCAAAACGUAUUUGGACAUUUGGACUUUCAUUUGGAAGUGGAUCGCAACAAAGUGUUUUCUUUCCAUACAUUUUUCAAGUAUCUGUACUUUAUCAGAUUAUUUUGAUUUUUGGCCUUCUCAUUACUUUUCCGUUUCAGAUUCCAAAUGUUUUACUUCACUAAUAAUGCACACAUGUUUUUAUUAAAGUCAGCAUGAAAUGAAAACUCAUCUAUUUUGUAAACAUAUGUUGUACUGUAGAUCUUAUUGUUAGCAUUUAUCCAUGUUUAAUUGUAUUUUUUUACCUUGUAAUGUUUAAUUAAAAUGGCAUAUCUCAAGCUUCCUGUGAAAACACAUUGUAAGCCUAAGUAGAUGGUAGAAACCAUUGGCAC
This is a long non-coding RNA of Sinocyclocheilus anshuiensis, 2559 nucleotides long. The record is from Ensembl. Lineage: Eukaryota; Metazoa; Chordata; Actinopteri; Cypriniformes; Cyprinidae.